GGAGCACAGAAGACAAUAGCAGCUACUGCAGCUUUUGCAAAAGUUGCCGCAGCAGCUGCAGCUUCAUCUCAUUAUUCAUCACACUUGCCUUCAGUUGCUAUGACCCCAAUGGCUCAUACUAAUCGAUCAAAGAGGAUUCCAUCUGCUGAUUCAAAAAACAUGAAAGCCGAGAAGACUUCUGUUUUUACUCCAAGUAUGGCUAAGGAUUCUCCGCAGGGCACACAAAUGAAGAAUCAACCUAAAAAUGGUUUUCAUUCGGCUGCUGGUGGAGGUCUAUUGAACGUGAAACUUUUUACAAGAUCAAAGGAUAGCCGUG
Molecule: unclassified non-coding RNA, 316 nt
Filed under: Hevea brasiliensis (rubber tree)
Lineage: Eukaryota; Viridiplantae; Streptophyta; Magnoliopsida; Malpighiales; Euphorbiaceae
Source: RNAcentral